Molecule: ribosomal RNA, 576 nt
Filed under: uncultured bacterium
Lineage: Bacteria
Description: bacterial SSU rRNA
Rfam family: Bacterial small subunit ribosomal RNA
Source: RNAcentral
ACGGGUGAGUAAUGUCUGGGGAUCUGCCCGAUAGAGGGGGAUAACCACUGGAAACGGUGGCUAAUACCGCAUAACGUCGCAAGACCAAAGAGGGGGACCUUCGGGCCUCUCACUAUCGGAUGAACCCAGAUGGGAUUAGCUAGUAGGCGGGGUAACGGCCCACCUAGGCGACGAUCCCUAGCUGGUCUGAGAGGAUGACCAGCCACACUGGAACUGAGACACGGUCCAGACUCCUACGGGAGGCAGCAGUGGGGAAUAUUGCACAAUGGGCGCAAGCCUGAUGCAGCCAUGCCGCGUGUAUGAAGAAGGCCUUCGGGUUGUAAAGUACUUUCAGCGGGGAGGAAGGCGAUGUGGUUAAUAACCGCGUCGAUUGACGUUACCCGCAGAAGAAGCACCGGCUAACUCCGUGCCAGCAGCCGCGGUAAUACGGAGGGUGCAAGCGUUAAUCGGAAUUACUGGGCGUAAAGCGCACGCAGGCGGUCUGUUAAGUCAGAUGUGAAAUCCCCGGGCUUAACCUGGGAACUGCAUUUGAAACUGGCAGGCUUGAGUCUCGUAGAGGGGGGUAGAAUUCCAGGU